This 68-nucleotide transfer RNA is filed under the name Marmota monax (woodchuck). RNAcentral's name for it is "tRNA.Ala". The record is from RNAcentral. Lineage: Eukaryota; Metazoa; Chordata; Mammalia; Rodentia; Sciuridae.
GGAUUAUGGCUCAGUGGUAGAGUGCUUGCCUAGCACGUGCAAUGCCCUGGGUUUGAUCCUCAGCACCA